Molecule: unclassified non-coding RNA, 21 nt
Filed under: Chlamydomonas reinhardtii
Lineage: Eukaryota; Viridiplantae; Chlorophyta; Chlorophyceae; Chlamydomonadales; Chlamydomonadaceae
Description: small RNA Cre_2806
Source: RNAcentral
UCUGUAGGCUUCGAGCCCCAC